Molecule: ribosomal RNA, 353 nt
Filed under: uncultured Glomus
Lineage: Eukaryota; Fungi; Glomeromycota; Glomeromycetes; Glomerales; Glomeraceae
Description: SSU rRNA
Rfam family: Eukaryotic small subunit ribosomal RNA
Source: RNAcentral
AGCAGCCGCGGUAAUUCCAGCUCCAAUAGCGUAUAUUAAAGUUGUUGCAGUUAAAAAGCUCGUAGUUGAAUUUCGGGGUCGAAUUAAUCGGUCGUGCCUCUGGUACGCACUGGUUUUAUUGGUUUCUCCCUUCUGACGAACCAGGAUGUCAUUAAUUUGGUGUCUUGGAGAAUCAGGACUGUUACUUUGAAAAAUUAGAGUGUUUAAAGCAGGCUAAACGCUUGAAUACAUUAGCAUGGAAUAAAUGAAAUAGGACGUUUGAUCCUAUUUUGUUGGCUUCUAGGAUUGACGUAAUGAUUAAUAGGGAUAGUUGGGGGCAUUAGUAUUCAAUUGUCAGAGGUGAAAUUCUUGGA